GUUAGGCGGGUUAGCUCGGCCGGAAUCACGGACGGGGGCCCCUUCUCGAAAGAGUGAGGGGGGACUAGCUGGGGCCAUGCGGCGGAUUCCGAUUCCGCCCUACGGCAGCAAAGUAGAUAACGUCAGCUAGUUCUCGGGGCCCUACCCGCCGGCCAAUGAGGGUGCCUCCGCCUGGCACUGUUGCCCAUUCUAACCCUUUGUGAACUACAACUCUGUUGCUUCGGGGGCGACCCCGCCGUUUCGGCGGUGGCGCUCCCGGUGGCCAAUCAUUAAACUCUGCAUCUCUUGCGUCGGAGUCUUAAAGAAAUUUAAACAAAACUUUCAACAACGGAUCUCUUGGUUCUGGCAUCGAUGAAGAACGCAGCGAAAUGCGAUAAGUAAUGUGAAUUGCAGAAUUCAGUGAAUCAUCGAAUCUUUGAACGCACAUUGCGCCCCGUGGUAUUCCGCGGGGCAUGCCUGUUCGAGCGUCAUUUCACCACUCAAGCCUCGCUUGGUAUUGGGCGUCGCGACUCCGGUCGCGCGCCUUAAAGUCUCCGGCUGAGCAGUCUGUCUCCGAGCGUUGUGAUACAUAUUCGCUAGGGAUGACAGGUCUGUCGCGGCCGUUAAAUCUUUAUUACAGGUUGACCUCGGAUCAGGUAGGGAUACCCGCUGAACUUAAGCAUAUCAAUAAGCGGAGGAA
Molecule: small RNA, 679 nt
Filed under: Phaeophleospora scytalidii
Lineage: Eukaryota; Fungi; Ascomycota; Dothideomycetes; Mycosphaerellales; Mycosphaerellaceae
Description: eukaryotic LSU rRNA
Rfam family: 5.8S ribosomal RNA (bases 317-470)
Source: RNAcentral